UAAUCCUUGCUCUCAUUUCUUGUAGUUGUCACCUCAGUUGUCACUACUACUGAGCCUCCAAAUGACUGUUUGAACGAUGGAAGCAAAGCCACUGGUAUUGAUUCUGAAAAAGCUUGUAAGAAAGAUCACAGUGAAGUCACUGUUACUGAUUCCAAAAAAGUUUGUCAGAAAGAUGAAAGCAAUUCACUGCAGCUACAGGUCAUGAACACCUCUGCCUACUACACCUACCUCCUCCUCCUCCUCAAGAGUUCCCUCUACUUCGCCAUCAUCAUCUGCUAUUUAGGAGAACAGUCUGCAGCAGUGGGAAGACCUCCUGAUAGAUGAUGCCACCAAGGGCUCAACUUCGCUUCAGCAUCAUUGUCUCUACAAGUGUCUGCUGAGGAUCUAGCUGGGCUUCCUUUCUGGGUUUGGCUUCUUUCAGAGAAUAUGUACAUCUUUGUAUUAUAUCAUUAUAGUGUAAGGAUUUUUCAAUCCAAUGGCCAAACAGAACACUGUACUGUUUAACAAGGAAUCCUGCCAUGACUCAGGGCAGGGCUGAGGGCUGGUCCACGAGAGCCUUUCCCACCACUGUCCCUCAGUGUCAGCAGCUCCUCCAGCCACUAAAUCUUUCACCUCCUGAGCACACACAGCACAGCACACGGUUCCUCGUCUCCUCCCUCAGGGCUUCCACCAGACCACGGCCCUGAGCUUCCCUGUACACACCGUGGAGCCCCAGCUUUGCUGCUUGAAUUCUGUCCUUUGAUUUUUCAUGAUAGGCACAAUCAAUUAAAAAGAUAUCCAACCUCC
Molecule: long non-coding RNA, 786 nt
Filed under: Sus scrofa (pig)
Lineage: Eukaryota; Metazoa; Chordata; Mammalia; Artiodactyla; Suidae
Description: lncRNA (ENSSSCG00060072767.1)
Source: RNAcentral